GUCAAUGUUUGUGUGUGUGAUUUUUGUUUUAAUUGUUUUUGUUUUUAUUCUCAAAUGAAAGUACCCUGCCAGUAAUCAUUGGUGUUUUGGGAAGACAGCCGGAAGCAGUGCCGUCUCCGUACCUUGGAGUGAAUGGGCUUUAUGUCCAGGCAGCCAUCUGUGGAAGUGGGAGCCUGGAGCCAGAUCUUGAAGCUACCUGUGCAUGCUAGAGUCAUUUGUGGCUUGCCCCGGAGUUCCUUCUUCACCUCUCAUCCAGAUUUGGCUUUGUCUGCCCUUCUACUUUUGGAACAGCCACUUCCUCUAACCAGGCCCAUGUUGCUUCCACCGGGGAUGCUAGACCUGCAAUUGUUUGAAGGUAAGAAUCAUUAUAAUUUUGUAGUUUUGUUAUCUGCAUUUCUAAGAUCUAGAAAAUGUCCAGAUUUGCUGCAUGCCAAAAUUUAAGGUCUCUCCACCUUAAAAUGUACUUUCUUCCAACUGCAAACUGACGUUAUCCAGGGAAUGGCUUCAUUCAACUUGUGUGGCCCUGGAUACUCUCUGUUUCUAUGAGCACCCUGAAAGUUUUGGUUUUGGGUGGGAGAAUAGCUUUCUAGAUGAAUGCAACUUAAAAGUCUUCUCUUUGAUGGGAAGAAGUUAUAGUUCACAUUUCUUCUCUGGCUGUGACCAUUUAUGGCCACUUUUGUGAAGACUGUUUAGUCAGUCAGUGUAAGAUAGGUUAUGCUGCAGUAAUUAAUAUCUCUCAAUCUUCAAAGACUUAAGACAACAAAGAUAUUUCUUAUUCAUGCUAUAUGUCCAAUGAACAGGAGCAGAGAUACUCCAUUUAUGGUAGUCAUUGAAGUCUCAAGACUUAUGAAAGCCCUGUCUUCACAUAUCUUUUCUUGGUAUAUUCAUAGAACUCUCACAAUUCACUGGCUAAAGCAAGUCACAUGAUUGCACUCAAAUUCAAAGAGGGUGGGUGUUGAAGUCCUACCACAUUCUCUGAAGAGGGCUAGAAGAUUUGUGAACAGUCUUAAAGACCAACACAGUUUUAUAUACAGAUUUUCUGAUUCUCAUUUCAGUUACUCAUAGAUUUUUAAUAUUUUAGAUUAUUUUCGAGAUAUGAAAGGUUGCUAGAUAAUUGGUUUUUUGAUAAUUGUGCUUUGCUCAAGAAUGUCCUGGAGAGAUAUCAUCUUUGUUAAAAGAUGUCCUUUAAACAUAUAUCAAUUGGAUACUAUAACUAUUUAGGCUCUAACUUCAGUUGACAGUGUGUCACCAACUGUGAAUGAACUUUCCCCUUCAACUUUCUCCACAUGGAAAAAGAGAUCAGUGGUGGCUCCCUUUCUUUCCCGAGCCUGCCUAAGAACUUG
Molecule: long non-coding RNA, 1343 nt
Filed under: Cercocebus atys (sooty mangabey)
Lineage: Eukaryota; Metazoa; Chordata; Mammalia; Primates; Cercopithecidae
Description: lncRNA (ENSCATG00000045566.1)
Source: RNAcentral